GUUUGGUUAAGUUAGAAAGGGCGCACGGUGGAUGCCUUGACACUAGGAGUCGAUGAAGGACGGGACUAACGCCGAUAUGCUUCGGGGAGCUGUAAGUAAGCUUUGAUCCGAAGAUUUCCGAAUGGGGAAACCCACCAUACGUAAUGGUAUGGUAUCCUUAUCUGAAUACAUAGGGUAAGGAAGACAGACCCAGGGAACUGAAACAUCUAAGUACCUGGAGGAAGAGAAAGCAAAUGCGAUUUCCUGAGUAGCGGCGAGCGAAACGGAACAUAGCCCAAACCAAGAGGCUUGCCUCUUGGGGUUG
RNAcentral lists this ribosomal RNA (304 nucleotides) under Bacillus paranthracis. RNAcentral's name for it is "partial 23S ribosomal RNA". It matches the Rfam family "Bacterial large subunit ribosomal RNA", at positions 1 to 300 of the family's 2925-position model. Lineage: Bacteria; Bacillati; Bacillota; Bacilli; Caryophanales; Bacillaceae. The record is from RNAcentral.